GACAGAGGGGGCAAGCGUUGCUCGGAAUCACUGGGCGUAAAGGGCGCGUAGGCGGGAUGGCAAGUCAGUCGUGAAAUCUCUCGGCUCAACCGAGAAACGUCGGCUGAUACUGCCGUUCUUGAGGGAUGCAGAGGAGACUGGAAUUCCCGGUGUAGCGGUGAAAUGUGUAGAGAUCGGGAGGAACACCGGUGGCGAAGGCGGCUCACUGGUCCGGUACUGACGCUGAGGUGCGAAAGCGUGGGGAGCAAACAGG
Molecule: ribosomal RNA, 253 nt
Filed under: uncultured bacterium
Lineage: Bacteria
Description: partial 16S ribosomal RNA
Rfam family: Bacterial small subunit ribosomal RNA
Source: RNAcentral